GCCGGGAAGGUGGGCGUGUCCAGCUGCGGCAGUGCAUCCUGGGAGAGCGGGCAUGCCCAGGUGCGGCAGUGCAUCCUGGGAAGGCGGGUGUGUCCAGAUGCGGCAGAGCAGCCAGGAAGGUGGACGUACCCAGGUGUGGCAGUGCAUCCUGGGAAGGCGGGCGUGUCCAGAUGCGGCAGAGCAGCCCAGGAAGGCGGGCGUGCCUGGGUGCGGCAGUGCAUCCUGGGAAGGCGGGCGUGCCCAGGUGCGGCAGUGCAUCCUGGGAAGGCGGGCGUGCCCAGGCGCGGCAGUGCAUCCUGGGAAGGCGGGCGUGCCCAGGUGCGGCAGUGCAUCCUGGGAAGGCGGGCGUGCCCAGGUGCGGCAGUGCAUCCUGGGAAGGUGGGUGUGCCCAGGCGCGGCAGUGCAACCUGGGAAGGCGGGCGUGCCCGGGUGCGGCAGUGCAUCCUGGGAAGGCGGGCGUGUCAGACCCGCAGUGGAAGAGGGAGGAUCGCACCGCAGCGGUACUGGAUUCUGGCGUGGUUCCUCCACGUCCCACGUCGGCAGCACCCGGGGGUCGUGUUCUUCCAGCCGCUGUUGCUGUGGGGCCUGCGGCGCUGGGGCCCCGGCCGGGUGGACGCCUGCCCCUUGCGCCAGCCACUGGGCUCCCAAAUGACCGCAAGGCUGACCCUAAGUCGGGGCCGCAGGAGCCGCUGCAACGCUGUGCGGUGCUUCCCCCCAUGGCGGGUCCCGCGCGAGGGGAGCGCAAGGGAAACCGGGCGCUCAAGGCGGGACAGGGCGCAAGGACGGCCAGGGGCUCAGGGCAGGCUCAAGCACAGGGAGACAGGGUGCAGGGCAAGCUCAGGCACAAGGGGACAGGGCGCCUGGCUUACUCAGGGGGACAGAGCACAAGGCUGGCCGGGGCUCGGGCAGGCACGGGGCGGGGAGACAGGGCGCCGGGCAGGCUCGGGCACUGGGGGACAGGGCGCCGGGCGGGCUCAGGGGGACAGGGCACAGGGCUGGCCGGGGCUCAGGGCAGGCACGGGGGACAGGGCGCCAGGCAGGCUCAGGCACAGGGGGACAGGUCACAGGGCUGGCCGCGCGGGCUCAGGGGGACAGGGCACAGGGCUGGCCGGGGCUCAGGGCAGGCACGGGGGACAGGGUGCAGGGCAGGCUCAGGCACAGGGGGACAGGGCGCCGGGCGGGCUCAGGGGGACAGGGCGCAGAGCUGGCCGGGGCUCAGGGCAGGCCGAGCACUGAGGGAACAGGGCACAGGAUAGGGCCGCGUGCUGGUGGGGGCUCUUGGCCAGUCUCCAGCCCCUCACCCCACUCGGAUGCUGGCAGGACAGAGCAGAUCUCUAGCUAACACAUCUCCCGUUCGUGCUCCCCCUUUUGUUUACGGUUUGUGAGAGGAGGUUUCCGAUGGGAUGGAGGGCAUGAGACGUGCGGCUGCCCAGCUGCUGACUCACGAGCUGGGACCACCCUCCCCCAAGCCCAGGGCUGUCCUCUGAGGGGCGGCCAGCUGCCCAUGGCAGAGCAGCGCCCAGCUCGUGUGACCGUGCCCUGGGAGGAACACGGGUCAGGGCAGCAUGGCCGCCCGGGCUCCAGGCUGUGGAGGUGGCAGGCGCUGCUCUGUGCUCCUUCUCG
Molecule: long non-coding RNA, 1623 nt
Organism: Oryctolagus cuniculus (rabbit)
Lineage: Eukaryota; Metazoa; Chordata; Mammalia; Lagomorpha; Leporidae
Source: Ensembl